Molecule: ribosomal RNA, 449 nt
Filed under: Psalis pennatula
Lineage: Eukaryota; Metazoa; Arthropoda; Insecta; Lepidoptera; Erebidae
Description: partial large subunit ribosomal RNA
Source: RNAcentral
UGCCCCCNGAUUUUUAUUAAAGGGCUGCAGUAAUUUGACUGUACAAAGGUAGCAUAAUCAUUAGUCAUUUAAUUGAUGACUUGUAUGAAAGAUUGGAUGAAAUAUAGACUGUCUUUGGAAUAUUAUAUAGAAAUUAAUUUUUUAAUUAAAAAGUUAAAAUAUUUAAAAAAGACGGGAAGACCCUAUAGAGUUUUAUUAUUAAUUAGAUNANAANUAUUUUUAAAAUUAAUAUUUAAAUUUAUUUAAUAAUUUUAUUGGGGUGAUAGAAAAAUUUAAUAAACUUUUUUUUUUUUUUACAUAAAUAAGUGAUUUAAUGAUCCAUUUNUAAUGAUUAUAAGAAAAAAUUACCUUAGGGAUAACAGGGUAAUUUUUUUUUUUAGUUCAUAUAAAAAAAAGAGUUUGCGACCUCGAUGUUGGAUUAAGAUAAAGUUUAAAUGCAGAAGUUUAAA